Molecule: non-coding RNA, 383 nt
Organism: Colossoma macropomum (tambaqui)
Lineage: Eukaryota; Metazoa; Chordata; Actinopteri; Characiformes; Serrasalmidae
Source: the annotation of a RefSeq genome assembly
GUUUUAGUCCUGCAGUCGUCUCUUCAUGCUGAACUAUGACCGUCCUCAGAGGAAUUAUUCUCCUGUCUGCAUGUCUUCUAGGUGUAAGUGGUCAGACACUGACUGAAUCUGAGCCAGCGGUCAUUAAACCUGGAGGAUCUCACAAACUGACUUGUACUGGCUCUGGAUUCACGUUCAGCAGCUACUGGGUGGGCUGGAUCAGGCAGCCUCCUGGAAAAGGACUGGAAUGGAUCGCACACAUCUAUGGCAGCAGUAGUAUUGAAUUUUCUGCAACACUGAAAGGAAGAUUCAGCAUCUCCAGAGACGACAGCAAAAACCAGAUCUACCUUCAAAUGAGCAGCGUGAGGAGUGAGGACACUGCUGUUUAUUACUGUGCCCGAUAG